RNAcentral lists this ribosomal RNA (128 nucleotides) under uncultured eukaryote. RNAcentral describes it as "partial 18S ribosomal RNA". It matches the Rfam family "Eukaryotic small subunit ribosomal RNA", at positions 1679 to 1801 of the family's 1831-position model. The record is from RNAcentral.
CUCCUACCGAUUGAAUGGUCCGGUGAAGUGUUCGGAUCGCGGCGACUGAGGGCGGUUCGCCGCCCCCGACGUCGCGAGAAGUCCAUUGAACCUUAUCAUUUAGAGGAAGGAGAAGUCGUAACAAGGUU